UUGAUAAUAUAGUUUAUACUAUCAUUAAUUAUGUGCACUGUUACCCCGCCGCCAAUUGGCGGCCGUAAGGUCGUCAAUUGGCCCCAAUUAAAAUAUUUAUUAAUAACUUUUUAUACCAGUAAUCAUAUAACUUAUGA
RNAcentral lists this unclassified non-coding RNA (137 nucleotides) under soil metagenome. RNAcentral describes it as "partial internal transcribed spacer 1". The record is from RNAcentral.